Molecule: long non-coding RNA, 869 nt
Organism: Oncorhynchus tshawytscha (Chinook salmon)
Lineage: Eukaryota; Metazoa; Chordata; Actinopteri; Salmoniformes; Salmonidae
Source: Ensembl
GAAGAACCCAGAACCUUCCCCUCCAACUCCCCCAAUCAAGUUUCCUUUUUAAGUCCUAUUUUAACCUCCUCUCCCUUCCAAACUCCCUUACCCCGGAGGGAGAGAGAGAAAGUCCCGGAGAACUAACCCCCUUUUAACUGUUCAAUGCUUCUUCUUUUAGCACUGUUUUUACUCACCCCUUUUAUGGCUUUUAAAAUCACCACUAUAAAUGUGAGGAGUGUAAGAACAGCAACAAGAGCACAGUCGGUUUUAUCCUUUUUAGAAAGGUUUAACUCUGAUGUGUUUUUACUACAGGAGUGUGGUCUACCCUUUUUAUCCUCUUACAGGAAAUGGGGGGAUAAGUGGCAGCACGGGCCCUCCAUUUGGAGUGGCUCCAAUUUUAACAAGAACGACGGUGUUGCCAUUUUAAUCAAGACCCCACAGGUGGUGGUGAAGGGGAGCACGGUGGUGGAUCGGGAACCAGUAUGUCCAGUGCGCGGGCUCGCUAUAGGUGAGCCCACAACGGUUUGGCGCAACGUGGCCCACCCUGCUCUCCUGAAUCGGCAUCGGGACCUGUCCUGGAUGGUCGCCCACGAGAUCCUCCCGGUCAGGGCCGUUAUGCACUCACGGGGCAUGGCGAGGACAUCCGCGUGCCCCCGACCAGGCUGCGGCCAAGAAGAGUCGGUGAGGCACAUGCUCUGGGAGUGCAGAGCCGCCAGGGACCUGUGGAAGGAAGCAGGCCCCCUGAUCACCUCGUGUCUGCCAGCAGGGGAGGACCUAACACCUCAGCUCGUGCUGUAUGGGGUGGGCCGAAGGCCCAUUUCAUCGAAGACCUUCACCAAGCUCUGGCCCACCCUCACGUGCCUGAAGGAAGCACUGUGGUCCUCCCG